ACACUCUUAAGAAAAAAGGUUCUUCAAAGGUUCUGAAACGAUGGUAAAGGUUCUAUAUAGAACCAUAGCUUACUGAAGAACCAUUUUUUGCUGAAAUGGUUCUUUGUCUUGGCAAAAGGGUUCUUUAUUUCCCUCCUUUUUUGAUUUUAAAUUUAGUCAGUUAUUUUCAAGCUGCCUCCUGAUUAUUUUCACCUGUAAAAGCCCUGAAUCAUCAGUCCUGCUGAACUGCCUGCAGACUAACAACACAAACAGGUAAGAGAGGAAAAUAAUCAUCAUUUACUGUUAAAAACAUUUUGAAAAUUGAAGUUUUGUGUGUUCUUAUUGUAAUUUAUUUAUUUUAUAACAGGUAAACUUUAUACUGUAAGCUUCAUUCCCUUUAAAGCAGAGUUUUUAUAUGUGAGGUAAUCUUGCUGGGAGUGAAGGCAGUGCGUAUGACCGCUUGAUAUGAGAGACACAUUCUAUUUUUAAAGGUCAACAUACUGUAAGCUUCAUUCCCUUUAAAGCAGAGUUUUCAUAUGUGAGGUAAUCUUACUGGGAGUGAAGGCAGUGCGUAUGACUGCUUGAUAUGAAAGACACAUCCUGUUUUAAAAGGUGGAUCGUGAGUGAAGCUCUGCAGGUCUGCCAUUGGCUUGAUAACAGUGGUUUAUGUGAAUUGAGUGAAUUCAAUUUAUAAAUAAAUCUUUCACCAAGCAUUCACCUAUUUACUGACAAAACAGAUCCAAAUCCUGAUGCUCAACCUUGUAUGAUGAUGACCACAGCCAGGUGAUGGAGAUCUGUGUUAAUCACAGCCUGCGUCUCAAGAUCAACAUGACAAUAGCAGACCAUUUCUUAUCUUACUCUUAUCUGACUAAAUGUUCAGCAUCAUUGCAACAAAACAAAGAACAUUGGAUGGCGUAUUGGAGUAUUAGAUGAUCCCGUAAAGAAAAUAAUAUGGACUUUUUUGGUGAGAUUCUACAAAGAUUGACACAAUCCUAUUGUCUUUUAUUUUUACAGUUAAUAAUGCAUUAUAAACAUCCCAUUCAUUUGUAUUCUAUGUCAUCGAUCUGUUUGUGCUAAAAUGUAUACAUCUGAAUGUAAUGUCAAUAAUAUGUUAAUAUUCAGGAUUUAUUAUCAUAUGCAUGUUUUGAUGUUGCAUGUCAUGAUUUUAUUGAUUUCAUGUAAUUGUUGUCUAUUUAAAAUGAUUUUAAUUGCCAAAUUUUAUUGUUAAUUUAUUUAAUAUUGAAGCUGUUAUUUAACAGCCAUAUCUUA
Non-coding RNA from Misgurnus anguillicaudatus (oriental weatherfish), 1248 nucleotides. NCBI's taxonomy places the organism in Eukaryota, Metazoa, Chordata, Actinopteri, Cypriniformes, Cobitidae. The record is from RefSeq and is a predicted model, not a curated record.